GUAGCUCAGUGGUAGAGCACUUGGUCAGCAAGCAUGAGGCCCUGGGUUCAAUCCCUAGC
This 59-nucleotide transfer RNA is filed under the name Heterocephalus glaber (naked mole-rat). It matches the Rfam family "tRNA", at positions 7 to 64 of the family's 71-position model. From Rfam's summary of the family: Transfer RNA (tRNA) molecules are approximately 80 nucleotides in length. Their secondary structure includes four short double-helical elements and three loops (D, anti-codon, and T loops). Lineage: Eukaryota; Metazoa; Chordata; Mammalia; Rodentia; Bathyergidae. The record is from Rfam by way of RNAcentral.